RNAcentral lists this transfer RNA (72 nucleotides) under Ictidomys tridecemlineatus (thirteen-lined ground squirrel). RNAcentral describes it as "Spermophilus tridecemlineatus (thirteen-lined ground squirrel) tRNA". It matches the Rfam family "tRNA". Rfam says of the family: Transfer RNA (tRNA) molecules are approximately 80 nucleotides in length. Their secondary structure includes four short double-helical elements and three loops (D, anti-codon, and T loops). Lineage: Eukaryota; Metazoa; Chordata; Mammalia; Rodentia; Sciuridae. The record is from Rfam by way of RNAcentral.
GGGGAUGUAGCUCAGUGGUAUAACACUUGCCUAGAAUGCAUGAGGCCCUGGGUUCAAUCCCCAGUACUACUA